RNAcentral lists this ribosomal RNA (464 nucleotides) under uncultured bacterium. Its description in RNAcentral is "partial 16S ribosomal RNA". It matches the Rfam family "Bacterial small subunit ribosomal RNA", at positions 28 to 506 of the family's 1533-position model. The record is from RNAcentral.
GACGAACGCUGGCGGCGUGCUUAACACAUGCAAGUCGAACGGAAAGGCCCUGCUUGCAGGGUACUCGAGUGGCGAACGGGUGAGUAACACGUGGGUGAUCUGCCCUGCACUUCGGGAUAAGCCUGGGAAACUGGGUCUAAUACCGGAUAGGAGCCAUUUUUAGUGUGAUGGUUGGAAAGUUUUUUCGGUGUAGGAUGAGCUCGCGGCCUAUCAGCUUGUUGGUGGGGUAAUGGCCUACCAAGGCGGCGACGGGUAGCCGGCCUGAGAGGGUGGACGGCCACAUUGGGACUGAGAUACGGCCCAGACUCCUACGGGAGGCAGCAGUGGGGAAUAUUGCAAAAUGGGCGCAAGCCUGAUGCAGCGACGCCGCGUGGGGGAUGACGGCCUUCGGGUUGUAAACUCCUUUCGCUAGGGACGAAGCUUUUUGUGACGGUACCUAGAUAAGAAGCCCCGGCUAACUACGU